Molecule: long non-coding RNA, 250 nt
Filed under: Nicotiana benthamiana
Lineage: Eukaryota; Viridiplantae; Streptophyta; Magnoliopsida; Solanales; Solanaceae
Description: long non-coding RNA (NBEN_LNC025122)
Source: RNAcentral
UCACUUUCUUGUUCUUGGAGAAAUACAACAUUAUCGUCCGGAAUUGCACUUCUCCUCUCUCUAGUGGAUCUCCUUAAUGGCACUUCAGGUUCUUGAGGUUGUUGAGUUUUAUUUUCAUCAAUAAUAUCAGGAACUUGAUCAGGGAGAUUAUCAAGAUUGUCUUAAAUUGGAGUUGUGUGAUCAGUGUCAGGAAUGAGAACACCCUGAUCAAGAUCAACAACGAAAGGAAAAGACACAUGUUCUUCCUCAA